Molecule: ribosomal RNA, 707 nt
Filed under: uncultured bacterium
Lineage: Bacteria
Description: bacterial SSU rRNA
Rfam family: Bacterial small subunit ribosomal RNA
Source: RNAcentral
AACACGUAAGCCCUGCCCGAAAGACCGGGACAACAGCUCGAAAGGGCUGCUAAUACCGGAUGUGUCCACGGUUUCCUGACCUUGUGAGUAAAUCAUUUAUGGCUUUCGGAGGGGCUUGCGGCCUAUCCUAGAUGGCGGUGUAACGGACCCCCAUGGCGACGACGGGUAGCUGGUCUGAGAGGAUGCAGCCGGACUGGGACUGAGAUACGGCCCAGACUCCUACGGGGGGCAGCAAUUAGGAAUUGUGCAAUGGGCGAAAGCCUGACACAGCGACGCCGCGUGAGGGAGGAAGGCCUUCGGGGUAAACCUCUUUUGACGAGGAAGAACACAAUGACGGUACUCGUCGAAUAAGCCCCGGCACUCCGUGCCAGCAGCCGCGGUAAUACGGGGGGGGCGAGCGUUGUCCGAAGUUACUGGGUAAAGCGCGUGUAGGCGGGUUGUUAAGUCCGCUGUGAAAGCCCGGUGCUCAACGCCGGGGUCGGUGGAUACUGGCAGUCUUGAAGUGGCUAGGGGGAAAUGGAAUUACCGGUGUAGGUGAAAUGCGUAGAUAUCGGUAGGAACACCAGUGGCGAAGGCGGUUUCCUGGAGCUAUUGACGCUGAGACGCGAAAGCUGGGGGAGCAAACGGGAUUAGAUACCCCGGUAGUCCCCCCUAAACGAUGGAUACUAGGUGUCAGGGGUAUCGACCCCUCUGGUGCCGCAGCUAAC